AUCUGAUAAAUGGGAUAUUGUAAAAUGAUGUUGUAAAAUAAUAAAGUAGGCUUUUGGUGUGGCAAAAUGGCAUAAUUUUUACAACGGCAGCCACGGAUGCUCUUAGGAUUGGGCAAAUACCACUCAAGUCUAAAAUAUUUCAAAAUUGAGCAAUUAGGUCCCUAAAAGACAUAUUAGUCCCUAACACCCUUAACACUGUUACCCCUCCCUCAUUUUUCUUUCCCUCACUUAGAACUCUCUCUAGUCUCUUCUCUCUGGUUCCUCUUCCUCUUUCAAUCCCAGCCAAAGCCAUAACAAAAAAUCCCAAAUCUUACCACAAAACUCAAAUAAUAGAUGGCUCUUGCUUUUUGUUUCUUGCUUAUAAAUUCCCCGCACAACAAACGAUUCUCUCUCUUUCUAUGGAGGAAAAAACACUGAAAGUUGAAAUAAAAGGCUGAAAGGAAAACAAAGUGCUGAGAGAGAACCCCAAAAAAAGCUGUGCUACAAAAAUAAACAAGGCCGAAAUAGUCAUCAAAAUACCCACCGUUUAUGCCCUAUGUGGAUCACCGGCUAUGGCAAGGAGUGCAUAAGAAUAGCUAAAACAAAGGGUGACAUUGAGUGCGAAGAUCAGAACCUUCAUGUACCCAUUUGGAAUGAGGAAAAUAAUUAACGAGUUUGAGAUCAUAAAUGUGAUAGCAUUACAAACGAGGAACACCUGAAAAAGGCCAUCUGGUGGUUGCAGUACUGCUUGUAACAGUCAACUAUCAAGCGGUACUCAGCCCUCCUGGUGGACUUUGGCAAGAUGAUGGUCUGUGCAAUACCACUGAAAUAGGGAGUAGUCCUGAUGGAACCACUGAUUUGUCCAAUACAAUAUUAUUGAAAACCAAAGUAGGUUUUAUUAUGCUCAAUACUGACAAUAAAGCAGUGUGUGAACACAAAGCAAGGACAGCCAUUGCUUUCGAAGAUGACCUUUUUCAAGUUUUAUUGUCGGUAUUGGACAUAAUAAAACCUGCUUUGGUUUUUGGUAACAUUGUAUUGGACAGAUCAGUGGUUCCAUUAGGACUACUCCCUACUUCAGUGGUAUUGCAUAGACCAUUAUCUUGCCAAAGUCCACCAGGAGGACUGAGUAUCGCUUGAUAGCUGACUGUUACAAGUAGUACUGCAACCACCAGAUGGCCUUUUUCAGUUGUUCCUUGUUUGUAAUGCUAUCACAUUUCUAAUCUCAAACUCGUUAAUUAUUUUCCUCAUUCCAAUGGGUACAUGAAGGUUUUGUUCUUCGCACUCAAUGUCACCCUCUGUUUUAGCUAUUCUUAUGCACUACUUGCCAUAGCCGGUGAUCCACAUAGGGCAUAUACGGUGGGUAUUUUGACGACUAUUUCGGCCUUGUUUAUUUUUGUAGCACAGCUUUUUUCCUGGAAGCAAUGAUCAGACUCAGUGCAAUACCACACAAAGAAGCAGGGACAGCCAUUGGUUAGGAAGGAACCCCUUUUCUGAUAUUCUUGAUUUACAGUAAUUGUUCUCAUUCCAGAUGUUGCAGUAGUGAUGCUUUGCGGUGCCAGGUGGAAGCUGAUUUUGGUACCUCUAAGAGGAAGAUUCUCCCAGUGGGGGAUUGCCAGCCCCCAUCCUUACACUGUUAAAAGUUCAUGAUUGCCUUUGUCUCAAGUCACUUCCUGAAAACAUGGAUACGCUCCUCCCAUCUCAUCAAAUUUUGGAUAUUGCAAACUGUCAGCAAGGAAGAGAAGUGCUUUCCUGAGGAGGACUUCCACAAGUCUUAGCUCUCGUCCUAUAAAGGAAUUUUAAAAUCUGAGAUCUCUAGACAAGAAGGGCCUUCAACUCCUUAUCUCUCUUCAACUAUUGUCUAUCUCAGACUGCCCUAGACUAAGGCAAAUGCCAGAAGAUGGAUUUUCUUGUCUCCAUUCUGAGAUACAGUUUCAUCAAUGUCUUUCCUUGACAAAACAGUACCAAAAAAAAAAAAAAGAUUAAAAGUGUGGCGCAAGAUUGCUCACAUCUCUAUCAUACAAUCAAUGAUGAAGUCUCAUUAUCUGAGCCAAAAGUGUAGACGAGAUCAAAUCCCACUUCACAGUAUGGUACUUGUUCCACUUUACCCUCUAAGCCUCCAUUUGAUUUUAUUUAUGCUUCUUUCUUACGUUGUUUAUUGAUAAAUAAAUUUGAAAAAUUUGUUAAUCUGAUAAAAAAUGGAAAAAUAAAAGGAUUUCUUCUAAGAGUGUUAGUCCGAAGCUGGAGUUCUCAAGUUUUUGUGGCUUGUUUUGUAAGAUUAUUUCCAUUGAUCAGUAGCAAGCGCCACAAAAGGCUUGGUCAAACACAUGCCAGAAGAGCAGUUAACAAAACAAUUGCCAAGGAAGAAGGGAAAAUAGUGGUGAAAGAUUGGUCACAUCUACUGCAUAAAAAAGGAUGCCCCAACCCAAAUCAGGGGAUUUUCUAAACUCAAAGUCUUUUGUGCACAUUCUAGUUGGAAGGGGGCUUUCAGCAUUGUCCAUUUCCUAUAUAUUAAGUUCAGGUAAUUGUGAAAUUAUAAAGACAUCAGGUAUUUUUGUUCCUUAUUUGAUGAUUGAUACUUUCUUUUAACAAUUUAAACAUAUUAUGUGCUUGAUGUAAAACAGUGUAGAAAUAUAAGGAUAAAAGAGGAAUGCAGGGAUAAACAACAAAUCCUAGGCUUCACCACAUAGAAUCAAUGUAGAAACCUUAAGCAUCACAACCUAACACAAGUUAUUAACCGAAUGCAUGAAAGUUAAGGUCGGGGGGUUAGGGUUGGGUGCCUAACACCUUCCCAUCCCUAGGUGAAGCAGAUCACCCAUUUCCAGUUUUGUAUAUGCCUUGGCCCUCAAAUAAGUGACCCACUCAAUUUUACUGUCAAUCUCACUAAUAUGUUGAUAUGUGUUGAAGUAAAUGGUGUAUACUUUAUGCUCACUUUUGUUUACUUGAACCCACUUUUGAUCUAUCAUUCACAAUUACACAAAUGAACAUACUGUGAAAUAAAAUCUGAUACCAAAAAAGAAGUACAAAGUUCAUGUCUGUAUGUGAACAAUGUGUUCUUUAGCAAACCAUCAAUAUAUUAAAAACUCUUGGGAGUUGACUCAAUGGUGGGAUAAAAAGUGCUAAAGGUGUGUUGAACUAUUCCUUCUGUAAAGAAGUUUACUCAAAAGCAGUACAACUCCUGUAACUAGACAUUCCACAAUAAAAUUUGUCUAUGGAAAUCAAAAAAUUAAAGGAAAAUAGGAAAUAUUAAUUGCAAAAAGAGACAGUGUCUGAUUGGUUGGCUUCAGUUUCAAGUGAGGUUCUAUGCUCUUCAAGCAUACUGGUAGUGUGAUGAUGUAUUCUUCCCAUAUGAGGCUAUUAUUCAAAUGCCAUUCUUCCCAUGUGAGGCUUAAAAAAAUGAUUCUUUGAAGAGGUGGCUGAGGUUGCUUGUCCACUGCAACUUAAACCACUGAAAACCCUAGCUGUAUGCCCAAUAUUCUAGAAACCUCUCUCUCUCUCUCUGAACCUCCAUGGCUGACCACCAAGGUCAGCCCUUCUCAUCUCGUCAGUGACAAACCAACACUUAAAUGGCCAUCCCCUUGAUCUUCCCCUCUAUCCAUCGAUCUUACUUUCUUAGAGCUCUCAAUAGUUGAUGGGCACUAUUGUUUUUCAAGCUGAACCAGCAGGUGUAAACUUUUUUGUGAUUCACCCAUAGAAACUCCGAUGCACAACACAAGACUACCUAUCAGUCUAGUAUCAGUCAUCGAUCUCUAUUCUUGGAGUUUUGAAUUUUGUCCUCCUGUCCAUGCUUAUUAAUGAUGUGUCUAUUUCACAAUUAUUACUUGUUUACACACAACUAACAAUAAUAGUUUCUUUAUGUUCGGGGGAGAGUUCACCCACCCUCAUUGAGGGUAUUCAUUGGGUUUAGAGGUUAUCAUCUAUAUAAGUUACUUUUACUAAAGUUUGGCAAAAAUACUUAUUAAAGAAAAAAAGUUUUGCACUAAUACUAACACAUGCCAUGCCUUACACACACGCUUCAAUUUGAAGACACAAAAAAGUGAAAGCAGUGAGAAUAUAUAAAGGAUGAUAUCAUAUGGGAUUGAAUAAAAAAUCUGCCUCUGCUUCCUUCCAUUGUUUUUAUCUUUUUCUAUACUAGCGAUGGUUGAUGUUAUGGAUCAUAGUAUAGACAUGUUUUUUCAGUGCACUUUGAAAAAACCUGUGGUUAGUCUUCUAGGAGAUUGCACUGGUGCCAGGAAGGAUUUGCUCCAUAGAUACUCACACAUGCUAUCUCCCUAGAUACUCACACAUGCUUAUGCCCCCAUAAUAGCUGGCAAUGUUUGAUAUUGUCCAUUUGAACCACCCCUCUAUCACUCAACUUGUAGUCUAAAUAUAUCUCAGUGGUUGCCCCCUUGUCUCCAUGCUUCUGAAAAUUCCAUUAGUGUUUGGAAAGAUUGGGUCCACAGAGUGGCUUUAUGCUGAGAGAGAGAGAGAGAGAUGGUGUUGGUGGCUGGGGUUUGCUGUGGAGGAACAUGGAUGCUUCUAUUCUUUUAGAUUGGAGAGAUCGAAGAGAGAUGGAGGUGUUUAGGCCAAGAUCAUAUUGAGAGAGAGAGAGAGAGAGAUAUUGGUGAGAGGAUAUUGGUUAUAUUGCCUGCGUGACCUUGAUAACCAGCAGAGGAUAUUGGUUAUCGGAUCCAUAACACUUCUUAGGCCAUCAUUUUGGCAUAAUUGAGCUACCACAGUGCAGUUAAUUUGCAUACACUGACUGUAUACAAAUUUACUUGGUCUCUCUUAGAUAUCUAGGUAGUGUGCACACUGGCAUGCCAUAGCCUUGGCUACAUGCUCACAUUAGGCUACCAUGGCCUUGGUAACGUGCAUGCAGGCAUGCCUUGGCUUUGACAGCGUGCACAUGGGGCUGCUAUGGGCAUGCCAACAUGCCUAAUGGAGGUUAUUUGUGCAUGCUGGGAUGCCUAAAUGAGGUUAUUUGUUCAUGCCUACAUGCAUGCUGCAUCGCCUUGCUCCCCUCCCCUUUGGCCAAAUUGUGUUCCUAAAUUCAUUCCAAGAUUUUAGUGAGGGUUUCCAGUAAUCGGUUCAGCAUUUUGAGCAUUUUUAAAAUUUUUAUGAUUUUUCCUAUUUUUCCACUUUUGAAAAUCGUUAAAAAAAAAAUAUGUUGAAUUUGGACUUGAAAUUUUUCUUACUUCAAGAUUGGAUUUUUCUUAGCAUGUGUGCAAAAAAUCAGGACAAGAUUCAAAGAAUUGCCCUAAAAAGGGUCAUUAUGUUUCCUCAAAAAAUCAAUAUUUCCUAGUGCUAGGAAGGAUCUGCUCCUAAACGCUCUUUAGGGAGGAGUAGUUUGGCAAUGCAUGAUGGCAACCCCCCAUGAGCUUGGCCACAGGCAUGCUUAAGCGAAGGUAAGAUCGCCCACUGUAUUGCUAAGUGGUUAGUCUUAUCUCAAGGUGGUUUCAAUCGAUAGGCCAGUGAUAUUAAUUUGUAUCUAUGCAAUCCCACUAUAUGUUUGCAUAGUCUAGUGAUAUUCAUCAAUCACCUUAUAAUUUUUUGGCUUGAGUGGUUAGUAUUGAUUGAUGAGUGUCCUAAAAAAUUUAAAAACAUGAAUUAAAACUAUGGUGUGACACAUGUAUGAAAGCAUGUCAAUUUCCAAAAAUUAGGUAUGUAAGUCUAUAUGUUUACAAUUGGUUAACUUUGAAUAUAUAUAAAUGCUUAUGUGAAUUGAAAAUAAUAUUUCAGAUACAGGCUUGAAAUGCAAGUUGGUGAUACAACAGAACAUGCAAAUUUUGUAGUAUUUGUCAAGAAAGAAGAGAAGUUGCCUGGUACACAACUCUUCAAUAUGGAAGAAGGAUGAAGAUGGUGACAAUAUUAUUCCACAUUGUAUCAAAUGCAUAAUUGGAAAAACCUACAUCUUCCAAGUGAAAGUUACAAUUUCUUCAUUGGCAAACAAAACUUUACGGCAACUGGAGUAUUUGAAAUUGAAGGAAAUGAACAAUAACAGGUAAAAAUGGUUCACUUAUACUUUAUUGAUGAAGUUAUAAUAUUAUCAGUGAUACAUAAUGACAUAUUGCAAUCUUUGGUUAUAGGAAACAACAAAAAGAGGGACUAAGAAUGGAAAUGAAGUAUCCAAAGAAACAAUUUUUGCUGAAGUAAAGAAAACAAAAAUUUUGAAGAAAUAAAUCCAAAAUGAGAAUGUGGAAGCUCAGAUAGAAGUGUUAGAUGAUUAGCGAACAUAGAAAAUAUUUAAAUGAAACUUUGAAUAUUUAGACUACAAAUCAGGUCGUGAUGUUGUGCUUUCUGAUAGAAGAAUAGAUACUUCACAGCCUAACGACUAGUGAAGGUCAUAUUUUAACUCUGCAGCAAAACGGCACCACAUCUCAUUAUUACAAACGGUGACGUUUUGGGUUUUAAAGAGAAUUCUUUCAGUCAAGCUACACGACAUCGUUUAGCCUUAGAGCUUCAGAGUCCGUGUUAGCAUCUUCUUCAAAGGAUUAGCUGCUGAGAUAUUUUUUUGUAAUUAGAUAUUUUCUGUUAAGAGCACAUUAAUCACACGUGUAAAUAGAGUGUAACUGAUUCCAAGCUUUACGGAAUUAUUGUUAGUUGGUUAGAUUAGGUUUAAGCUUAUCUCUUGAUCUAUAUAUAGAGAACUAUACCCAUUGUAUUAUUCAGUUAGUAUUGCUAAUAUUCAACCAGAUAGAUUUUACUCUCUGUUCUUUCU
Molecule: long non-coding RNA, 6673 nt
Organism: Quercus lobata
Lineage: Eukaryota; Viridiplantae; Streptophyta; Magnoliopsida; Fagales; Fagaceae
Exons: 6
Source: RefSeq, a predicted model, not a curated record